Molecule: ribosomal RNA, 200 nt
Filed under: Escherichia coli
Lineage: Bacteria; Pseudomonadati; Pseudomonadota; Gammaproteobacteria; Enterobacterales; Enterobacteriaceae
Also listed under: 1 other name
Description: partial 23S ribosomal RNA
Rfam family: Bacterial large subunit ribosomal RNA
Source: RNAcentral
CGGUAGCUAAAUGCGGAAGAGAUAAGUGCUGAAAGCAUCUAAGCACGAAACUUGCCCCGAGAUGAGUUCUCCCUGACCCUUUAAGGGUCCUGAAGGAACGUUGAAGACGACGACGUUGAUAGGCCGGGUGUGUAAGCGCAGCGAUGCGUUGAGCUAACCGGUACUAAUGAACCGUGAGGCUUAACCUUACAACGCCGAAG